CCAACUGGGGACCUGGCCCACAACUCAGGUAUGUGGCCUGACUGGGAAUUGAACCUGCAACCUUUUGGUUCACAGGCCAGCACUCAGUCCACUGAGCCACACCAGCCAGGGCUUCUGCCAGCUUUUCAUAGAGGAGAAAUUGAGGGAUGUCUGAGUGGAAUUCCAGUUUCUAGACCCCUGGUUCCUUCCCCCACUCCAGACCUGGCACCUAGAAGUUACCCUUUCUUGUCAUCUUUGGGGACAUUUCCCUUGCUGCCGUGAUCUAACUUCCCUCAGUUACAGUCUCCCUGUCCUGAGGAGCCAAGGGAAUCGGGGAAAUAGGAGGAGAUAGCGGACAGAGUAGAGAUAUAGAAAAGGUUGUGACCGGGAGCUGAUGGGGUGCUUUCUGACUUCCCUUUCCUAGACUUGAGCUGAUAAGGGGAAAAGGGUAGUGUCACAACAGUCUCCCCCGUCAGAGCCCUCAGGUUCAGUCUGCUCUGUGUGCUCUCUGCCGUAGCCUCAGCCUUGUCCCAUCUGCCCCAGCUCCCUGUCCUCUGGCUGGGGUGGGCAGGACCUGCUGGACAGUGCUGGAUCUGUCAAAGAGGACAGCAGCCAGCUCCCCCCACCUCCCCCACCCGGAGCUCUCUUGGCCUGCUGCACUUCCACCCUGUGGGGUUUCCUUCUCUCCAUCCCCUAUCUCUCUAUAUGCUACCUCUGGACCUUCAGGUUAGGAGUUAGAAUCAAGAGUGUUAGAGAAGACACAGUUAAGUUGCCUUCUUUUCCUUAUUGACAUUAGCAGGUAAAGUGAUUUAUUCAAGUUCAUGAUUCUUACAGAGCCAAGCUGGAACCUGGGUCUCCUUCUGUGACUCAUGGAGUCAGGAUGACAGGGCUGGGGUUGCAACCACAUCACCCUCACUUGCAGUCCAGUGCCCUUUUGCUCAUCACUCUGUACUGCUAUGGGGUGUGUGUGUGUGUAGAGAGAGAGAGAGAGAGAGAGGUGUAUUGAGGGAGAGGGGGACUCUGCUAGCAGAAGCCCCUUUCCACCUUUUGCUCCCCAGACCCUGAUGGCCAACUCUUUCACCCCCUAGUUCACCCUUUUCCUAUUUCCCCAUCUGUCUCACUCUCUCCCUCACCAUUCUUUCUUUUCCCCCUGGAAGAAAUUUCCCCAUAAAACUAGUUAGCUUUUCAUAUUCCUAGAUCUGCCUACCUCUCACCAUCUUUAAAAAACAAGACAGUUUCAUCAAACAAUUUAAUACCACAUUUCACAAAACUUUAAACUCUUACUGAUUAAUUAAGCAUUUAACAUGAAUGAUGAGAUUCUCUUUGUGGACCAGGCUAUGUGUAAUGUCUUAAACAGUUGGUACAGACUGUUAAAAAUUUCUUGUAACAUUAAAAA
Long non-coding RNA from Phyllostomus discolor (pale spear-nosed bat), 1375 nucleotides. RefSeq lists it as uncharacterized. The record is from RefSeq and is a predicted model, not a curated record. The transcript has 2 exons. Lineage: Eukaryota; Metazoa; Chordata; Mammalia; Chiroptera; Phyllostomidae.